UACGUAGGGGGCUAGCGUUGUCCGGAAUCAUUGGGCGUAAAGAGCUCGUAGGCGGUUUGUCGCGUCGGCCGUGAAAACUUGGGGCUUAACCCCAAGCCUGCGGUCGAUACGGGCAGACUUGAGUUCGGCAGGGGAGACUGGAAUUCCUGGUGUAGCGGUGAAAUGCGCAGAUAUCAGGAGGAACACCGGUGGCGAAGGCGGGUCUCUGGGCCGAUACUGACGCUGAGGAGCGAAAGCGUGGGGAGCGAACAGG
This 253-nucleotide ribosomal RNA is filed under the name uncultured bacterium. RNAcentral's name for it is "partial 16S ribosomal RNA". It matches the Rfam family "Bacterial small subunit ribosomal RNA", at positions 524 to 776 of the family's 1533-position model. The record is from RNAcentral.